UGUUGUUCUGCAUGAAGUGUACACGACAACAUUAGGUAAACAAGUACCACCUUUGACGUGUUGUUCUGCAUGAACGUGUACACGACAACAUUAGGUAAACAAGUACCACCUUUGACGUGUUGUUCUGCAUGAACGUGUACACGACAACAUUAGGUAAACAAGUACCACCUUUGACGUGUUGUUCUGCAUGAAAGUGUACACGACAACAUUAGGUAAACAAGUACCACCUUUGACGUGUUGUUCUGCAUGAAGGUGUACACGACAACAUUAGGUAAACAAGUACCACCUUUGACGUGUUGUUCUGCAUGAAGGUGUACACGACAACAUUAGGUAAACAAGUACCACCUUUGACGUGUUGUUCUGCAUGAACGUGUACACGACAACAUUAGGUAAACAAGUACCACCUUUGACGUGUUGUUCUGCAUGCAGAUGGUCUCCGAAUAGUCUAAAACCUUCCCCUGUUUGGACAUUCAUUGAGCUAACCUGGAGUCCAUGAGGCAGUAGGCUGAGAUUGUGCUUCAUGUGUCUGUGAUGUAGAUUUAUAUGAUUGCUCAAAAUGAAACUGCAUUGAAAUUUUUUACUUGUUCACUGGACAACCACAGAGGUAAAUUUUGUUUGUCGGAGCUGAUUUUUACUUGUGAGGACAAACGGACAAGUGCUUAUUUCGAACGCUGGCCCCACCAUCAACACCACCAAUAUUUCCAACCAUGGAAAUCAGUCUCGGACCGGAGGUAAAAAAGGGCUUUUCACCACCCCUGCUUCUAAUACAUGUGUGUUACUUGGCUGAUAUCAAUCUAUGAAGCAUUGGUUUGCCAGUAUGCUCCAUAUACAUGAUGUACCAGUAUACAGAAUGAUAAAACUGAAUAAUUUCAUAUAGGAUAGAAGCGGAUUUCAUGACUGAAUAUUGUAAUACAUAGUGCCCUGCAAAAACAUUCCGUGUUGUACAAACAUGAUUAUUUGUACUGUUUUAUCAACUUAUAGUUUCGGAGAAAGUGAUGAUGUUGAACAGUUAAUUUUGAUCAAAGUGCUGUGACAUAAAGUGCAAUAAUAUUAUUUUAAAAAUGCUUUUGUGGAAAGUUGAUUGGUAAAUGCAGCAUUGUAUAUAGUCUUCUUAAAGUUUUUAUUUAACUGUACAGAAAUGUCAUUUGCCUGUAUAAUACAAAUAUCAAUGAUAAUGGCCAUUGGACAAUUUACAAAUCAUCUGCACAAUGCAGCUGCAAUAAAUAAAUUAAAAAUAAAAA
This is a long non-coding RNA of Gigantopelta aegis, 1241 nucleotides long. RefSeq lists it as uncharacterized. The transcript has 2 exons. NCBI's taxonomy places the organism in Eukaryota, Metazoa, Mollusca, Gastropoda, Neomphalida, Peltospiridae. The record is from RefSeq and is a predicted model, not a curated record.